RNAcentral lists this ribosomal RNA (682 nucleotides) under uncultured Lachnospiraceae bacterium. RNAcentral's name for it is "bacterial SSU rRNA". It matches the Rfam family "Bacterial small subunit ribosomal RNA", at positions 28 to 711 of the family's 1533-position model. Lineage: Bacteria; Bacillati; Bacillota; Clostridia; Lachnospirales; Lachnospiraceae. The record is from RNAcentral.
GAUGAACGCUGGCGGCGUGCUUAACACAUGCAAGUCGAGCGGAGCGGUUUCAAUGAAGUUUCGGAUGGAUUUGAGAUUGACUUAGCGGCGGACGGGUGAGUAACGCGUGGGUAACCUGCCUUACACUGGGGGAUAACAGUUAGAAAUGACUGCUAAUACCGCAUAAGCGCACAGGGCCGCAUGGUCUGGUGUGAAAAACUCCGGUGGUGUAAGAUGGACCCGCGUCUGAUUAGGUAGUUGGUGGGGUAACGGCCCACCAAGCCGACGAUCAGUAGCCGACCUGAGAGGGUGACCGGCCACAUUGGGACUGAGACACGGCCCAAACUCCUACGGGAGGCAGCAGUGGGGAAUAUUGGACAAUGGGCGAAAGCCUGAUCCAGCGACGCCGCGUGAGUGAAGAAGUAUUUCGGUAUGUAAAGCUCUAUCAGCAGGGAAGAAAAUGACGGUACCUGACUAAGAAGCCCCGGCUAACUACGUGCCAGCAGCCGCGGUAAUACGUAGGGGGCAAGCGUUAUCCGGAUUUACUGGGUGUAAAGGGAGCGUAGACGGUUAAGCAAGUCUGAAGUGAAAGCCCGGGGCUCAACCCCGGUACUGCUUUGGAAACUGUUUGACUUGAGUGCAGGAGAGGUAAGUGGAAUUCCUAGUGUAGCGGUGAAAUGCGUAGAUAUUAGGAGGAACACCA